RNAcentral lists this long non-coding RNA (1098 nucleotides) under Ornithorhynchus anatinus (platypus). RNAcentral describes it as "lncRNA (ENSOANG00000048725.1)". The record is from RNAcentral. Lineage: Eukaryota; Metazoa; Chordata; Mammalia; Monotremata; Ornithorhynchidae.
AUGCCCCCGGGCAGGGCUGGGGGGCUGCUGAUGCUCCCGGGCAGGGAGCUGCUGCCCUACCUGUUGGGGAGGGCUGGGCGGCGGCUGAUGCCCCCGGGCAGAGUUGGGGGGCUGCUGCCCCUCCUGCUGGGGAGGGUGAGGGGGCUGCUGAUGCCCCCGGGCAGGGCUGGGGGGCUGCUGAUGCUCCCGGGCGGGGAGCUGCUGCCCUCCCUGCUGGGGAGGGCUGGGGGGCUGCUGAUGCCCCCGGACAGAGUUGGGGGGCUGCUGCCCCUUCUGCUGGGGAGGGUAAGAGAGCUGCUGAUGCCCCCGGGCAGGGUUGGGGGGCUGCUGCCCUACCUGCUGGGGAGGGUUGGGGGACUGCUGAUGCCCCCGGACAGGGGCAGGGGGCUGCUCAUGCCCCCGGGCAGGGUCGGGGGGCUGCUGUCCUUCCUGCUGGGGACGGUCAGGGGGCCGCUGCUGCUCCUGCUGGGGAGGGUCGGUGGUCUGCAGAUGCCCCCGGACGGGGUCGGGGGGCUGCUGCUGCCGCCCCUCCUGCUGGAGAGGGUCGGGGGUCUGCGGAUGCCCCCGGACGGGGUCGGGGGGCUUCGGCUGCUGCCGGGGGUCCCGCUCCGGCUGAAGCCCCCGGGCCGGGCCGGGGUCCGAGGACGGGGACCAGGCGGGGGUGGGGGGCGGGCUCCGGGCCGCUCCUCCGGCCGGGCCCGGCCCCGGCCCCCUGGGGGUGUCCCCGGGCGAUGGGUGCGGGGAGUGCGGGGGGUGCGGGGUCCGGGCCGGUCCUUCCCGCCCGCCCCGGGCCGGGGGCAGCGGCCAGGCGGCGGCCAGCAGCGCCGGCAGCAGCAGCAGCAUGGCAGUCACCUACGGCGCCCAGGGAGGGGCAUGGCACCCCCGGACCGGCUCCCCCGCCGGCCACACACCGGUCCCGGUCCCGAUCUCGGUCCCGAUCCCGGUCCCGGUCCCGGUCCCGAUCCCGAUCCCGGUCCCGAUCCCGGUCCCGGUCCCGAUCCCGACGGCGCCGCGAGGAAAAAUGAGGGAAGAGCCAGCAGCCCGGGAGAGGUGCGAGGAGCACAGGAGGAGGAGCAGGAGGAGCUGGAGAAAGGGUGA